This 499-nucleotide ribosomal RNA is filed under the name uncultured bacterium. RNAcentral describes it as "partial 16S ribosomal RNA". It matches the Rfam family "Bacterial small subunit ribosomal RNA", at positions 899 to 1397 of the family's 1533-position model. The record is from RNAcentral.
ACUCAAAUGAAUUGACGGGGGCCCGCACAAGCGGUGGAGCAUGUGGUUUAAUUCGAUGCAACGCGAAGAACCUUACCUACCCUUGACAUGUCAGGAACAUUGCAGAGAUGUGAUGGUGCCGAAAGGAACCUGAGCACAGGUGCUGCAUGGCUGUCGUCAGCUCGUGUCGUGAGAUGUUGGGUUAAGUCCCGUAACGAGCGCAACCCUUGUUUCUAGUUACCAUCAAGUAAAGUUGGGGACUCUAGAGAGACUGCCAGUGUUAAGCUGGAGGAAGGUGGGGAUGAUGUCAAGUCAUCAUGGCCUUUAUGGGUAGGGCUACACACGUGCUACAAUGGGCAGUACAAAGGGAAGCGAAGCCGCGAGGUGGAGCGGACCUCAAAAAGCUGUCCGUAGUUCGGAUUGGAGUCUGCAACUCGACUCCAUGAAGCUGGAAUCGCUAGUAAUCGCAAAUCAGAACGUUGCGGUGAAUACGUUCCCGGGCCUUGUACACACCGCCCGU